RNAcentral lists this transfer RNA (72 nucleotides) under Camelus bactrianus (Bactrian camel). It matches the Rfam family "tRNA". Rfam says of the family: Transfer RNA (tRNA) molecules are approximately 80 nucleotides in length. Their secondary structure includes four short double-helical elements and three loops (D, anti-codon, and T loops). The record is from Rfam by way of RNAcentral. RNAcentral also lists the same sequence under 2 other names. Lineage: Eukaryota; Metazoa; Chordata; Mammalia; Artiodactyla; Camelidae.
GCAGGUAUAGCUCUGUGGAAGAGUGUGUGGCUAGCAAGCACGAGGUCCUGGGUUCAAUCCCCAGUGCCUCCA